This 2821-nucleotide long non-coding RNA is filed under the name Homo sapiens (human). RNAcentral's name for it is "HSALNT0180224". Lineage: Eukaryota; Metazoa; Chordata; Mammalia; Primates; Hominidae. The record is from RNAcentral.
UUUGGAAACAUGACUGGCAUAAGAGGAAAUAGGUGUUCAGCUUAAGAGGAAUGGUACUCAAGGUGCUACAUUUAAAGAACUACACCUGAGGAACUUCAUCCAGAUCUCAACAUGAUUUAAAUGAUGACACUCAGGAUUUCAACUAAAUAUUGUGAUUGAUGGGGCUUUUGUGACCUUUUCUAGGGAUGAAAGUAUUUUAAUUGUGGGAAAAAUGUAUAUGCUAUAUGUUCAGAGUGUAGAGUGUGUUUGUUUAAAAAAAUUUCUACGAAGUUUUUGAUAUUCUUCCCCUCAAAAGGUGGAAGAAUUAUUAAUUCUUAAUUUCUGUUAUCUGGCUUCUUAAUUAUGAAGCAUUUAAAGAAUUGCUUCAUAAUACAGUAUAGAUGACACAAUAUUACAAACUUAAACAUCAUAUUAAUAACAACAUUAAACUAUAUCAAUAAUUAUAUGUAAAGUAACUAAUAACUCCAAUUAGUCAUCAGUAAAAUGAAAGCUGAAAUCACUUCAUCCCAAUAAAAUGGUUAAAAUUCAAAAGACUGGAAAUACUAAAAUUCAAAGACUAAUUACAUGUCACAUUUGAGACUAGAUUACAAAAUGACUACUAUUUUUAUCAUUCUGUGUGUGUGUGUGUGUGUGUGUGUGUGUGUGUGUGUUUAUGUGUCUAUCUCCUUCUUUCCUGUAUUACUCAUUGUAGGGGAAGCUGUUUUGAAGAGCCUAUAGAACUGAAUCCUUAGGCUGAGAGAAAAGUGAAUGUGUUUGAAAGUAUAUUCCAGUUUUGUUUUUAAUUUCUCUUGGGUAAACACCUUGGAUAAGAAUUAUUGGAUUGUAUGGUAAAUGCAUGUUUAACAUUACGAGAAACUGUCAAAUUGUUUUCCAAAAGAGUUAGAUCAUUGUAUGCUCCCAGUGACAAUGAAUGGGAGUUGCAUUUGCUCCCCAUCCUCACGAUCACUUUGUAUUUCUGGUCUUUUGUUUCUUUUGUUUCUUAACCCAUUCAACUGGGGAUGAGGUAGUUUCAACUUGCACAUCUCUGAUGACUCAUUGGAGCAACUACCCAAUAGUAAUCAUUACUUAUUUAUAUGAUUUAAUGUAAUUAUUGAUGUUGUGUUUAGACAUGUCAUCUUCCUAUUUGUACCUUUUGCUUAUUUGCUGCUCUGUUGCUCUUUUCCUGUCUGCAUUUGGGGAAAUCAAAUAUACACCAGUGCCCCACUCUAUUUGUAACAUUGACGAUUACAGACCCACAUGCACACAAAUCUCCACAUGCAUGAUAUUCUCAGAUCUUUAAGUUAGUAUUUUUCAUCAAAAUUAGAAAUUUUUGACCAUAAUUUCUUUAAAUAUUUUUUCUGCUAACAUUGUACUUUCUUCUCUUACUGAUACUUCAGUUACAUAUAUGUUGGAUUGUAUGAUGUUGUGAUACUGGCCUCUGAGACUCUGUUUAUUUUUAAUUAAUAUUUCCCCUUCUAUCUUUUUCAGACUGGAAUAUUAUUUUCUAAGUUAUUUGGUAAAUACCUUUUUUUACUAUCUCCUUUUUGCUGCUAAAUCCAUUCAGUGCCUAUUUUCAUUUUCAUUAAUCUACCUUUCAGUUUUAGAGUUCUCAUUUAUUCUUUUAUCUCUGUUGUUAUUUCAUUCCUGCCUUCAUAUUACCAUCAUAUUUAACUUAUUUAAAAGUAAUUAUUAUAACUACCUUAAAGUCUUCAUAUUUUAGGUUCAGCAUCUCUUUCAUCUGUAGUUUGCUUUUUCUGUUUUCCCAUUCUUUGUUAUGGAUUUUUUAAAACAAAAAUCAUUAAUAUGGUGAUUUUGUAUUAAAUACCAGACACAUGAACAAUGCCUUGUGCAGGCUAGGGGUUUUUCUUCCUUCAAAGAGUUUUCAAUUUUAACACUGGUUGACCACCUUGAACUUUUCAAAUUACUGGUCAAACUUGUCUUGGCUCAGGCAAUGCUGUAUUAAGUGUAAAUCUAGGAAAGCUCAAAGCAUUUCCUAGGCCCCUAACUCAGUAUCCAAAUCCUGUGUCCUCUAACAAUCUUGUUAGGCUUGCUUUUGGACUUUGUUAAUGAGACUUGAGGAAGUCUCAUAGAAUAUGAAUAGACAGAGGCUCUCUGUCUAGAUUCAUUAGCAGUUUCACAGUGAUGUUAUUCUAAUUUUGUCAUUCUUUUCUGGUUCUACAAAAGAAACUUUCCCGAUCUACUAUUUUAAUACUCAUUAGUAUUGCUUGUAUAGAAAACACAUGAUAAAUGCUUCAAUCUUCCCCUUUAUUUGCCCAUUUUUUUUUUUCCAAAUAAUGAGUUUGUUCACAAUCUCCAACCAUUCCUAAAUGUUCUUUCUGAGCAGCAUCAUACUCUUCUGAUACCAGUUAUUCCAGAGAACUCUCUUAGGAUCUCUCAAUUUUUUUUCAGGGAAGUCAUUAUAAUGGUGGGAAAUCUUUUCUGCUCUGGCUGUUUUCUGAACCUCAGUCUACCCUUUAAAUGUUUUGAUAUCAAGGGGAAACUGAGAAGACUCAAAUUUAUAUCUUGUCUCACUUUCGUACUCUAUUUCUGGCUUCCAUUCGAAUCUACAUCCUCAUCCCUAUCCUGGUCUUCAUCCACAUUAUUGCAAAGAGAAUAGUCCUUAUGCUGGCUGUCAGUUUCGCUAAAUCUAUAACCCUGCUGAUAUUUAUAAAAUGUAAGUUUAACAAUAUCAUAUCUUUCUUUAUAUUAAAAUGGGAAUUUGGGAAAUUUAGAAAACUCCUUUUUUAAAAAUAAAAAAAUAAAGCUUGGAUUUUGAGAUUAUGCCUUUGAAGACAAAUCGACUUUAAAUUACAAAGAAAAUAAUCCUCUUUAUCAACUCAGU